ACGGAAACGAUACUAGCUUGCUAGUAGGCGUCGAGUGGCGGACGGGUGAGUAACGCGUAGGAAUCUACCUGAUAGUGGGGGAUAGCCCGAAGAAAUUCGGAUUAAUACCGCAUAAUCUAUUCGUAGUAAAGUGGGGGACUUUCGAGCCUCACGCUAUCAGAUGAGCCUGCGUAAGAUUAGCUAGUUGGUAGGGUAAAAGCCUACCAAGGCGACGAUCUUUAGCUGGUCUGAGAGGAUGAUCAGCCACAUCGGGACUGAGACACGGCCCGAACUCCUACGGGAGGCAGCAGUGGGGAAUAUUGGACAAUGGGGGCAACCCUGAUCCAGCAAUACCGCGUGUGUGAAGAAGGCCUGAGGGUUGUAAAGCACUUUCAAUUGUGAAGAAAAGCUAGUGGUUAAUAGCCAUUAGCCUUGACGUUAACUUUAGAAGAAGCACCGGCUAACUCCGUGCCAGCAGCCGCGGUAAUACGGAGGGUGCAAGCGUUAAUCGGAAUUACUGGGCGUAAAGCGUGCGUAGGCGGUUUAUUAAGUCAGAUGUGAAAGCCCCGGGCUUAACCUGGGAACUGCAUUUGAAACUGGUC
RNAcentral lists this ribosomal RNA (581 nucleotides) under uncultured bacterium. Its description in RNAcentral is "bacterial SSU rRNA". It matches the Rfam family "Bacterial small subunit ribosomal RNA", at positions 66 to 638 of the family's 1533-position model. The record is from RNAcentral.